This 250-nucleotide ribosomal RNA is filed under the name uncultured bacterium. RNAcentral's name for it is "partial 16S ribosomal RNA". It matches the Rfam family "Bacterial small subunit ribosomal RNA", at positions 1250 to 1500 of the family's 1533-position model. The record is from RNAcentral.
CAAUACCGCGAGGUGGAGCAAAACUUCAAAAAUGGUCUCAGUUCGGACUGUAGGCUGCAACUCGCCUACACGAAGUUGGAAUUGCUAGUAAUCGUGGAUCAGCAUGCCACGGUGAAUACGUUCCCGGGUCUUGUACACACCGCCCGUCACACCAUGGGAGCUGGUAACACCCGAAGUCAGUAGUCUAACCGCAAGGAGGACGCUGCCGAAGGUGGGAUUAGCGACUGGGGUGAAGUCGUAACAAGGUAGC